AUACGGAGGGUGCAAGCGUUACUCGGAAUCACGGGGCGUAAAGCGCGCGCAGGCGGCUAUUUAAGUUGGAUGUGAAAGCCUACGGCUCAACCGUAGAACUGCAUCCAAAACUAUUUAGCUAGAGUGUGGGAGAGGAAGAUGGAAUUAGUUGUGUAGGGGUAAAAUCCGUAGAGAUAACUAGGAAUACCAAAAGCGAAGGCAAUCUUCUGGAACACUACUGACGCUGAGGCGCGAAAGCGUGGGGAGCAAACGGGAUUAGAAACCCUAGUAGUCC
This 274-nucleotide ribosomal RNA is filed under the name uncultured bacterium. RNAcentral's name for it is "partial 16S ribosomal RNA". It matches the Rfam family "Bacterial small subunit ribosomal RNA", at positions 523 to 796 of the family's 1533-position model. The record is from RNAcentral.